ACAAACAGAAAAAGCCGCUGGUGGCGUGACGUCAUCGUAUAGACCGGGGCGUGGUCUAAGGCGGAAGUGUUUGUUCUUGUGGAGCAGAGGUAUAUGCUUUGGAAUAGGAGCAUGAUCUUCGUACCCCCAUAGAUCCACCGGGGAUCCCUUUCUUGGAUCUCUGGGGGGGCAAGUGAAGAAAAAGCCUGGAUUUGGUAAGGGGACUGGAAACAAGAUGGUGUGUGAAUUCUUUCUGCUGUCCUCCAUCUGGUUUGUUGUGGUCAUAUUUUGGCUGGAGACGAUCAGUAUGUGGCUGUUCCUGUGCCAUUUAUUCCAAGAUCGAGCAAUGUAUCAGUGGGGAGAAAGGAUUUACAUCACCCAUCCUGACCAGAUCAUGUACAUAAUGAUUACAUUUAACUCUUCGAGGUAGCCCUAUACUUCACUGGUGCCGACUGAUUAUUUUCAAAAUACUUGAAGAUCAGGACAGUGGACUGAUAUUGGAUAAAGGAAAGAAACGGAUGAUGUGCCAAUAUAAAAACAUAGUAUUUUCUAAAUCUUUUUAAUGACGUUAUAAAAGUAAAUUUGGAUGAGGUAUGCAAGACAUCCCUGACCGGUUGGGAAGAUACUGUUCUGCCUGCGAAAUUCUGUUUUAUAUCUUGGGAAGACUUCUGAAUGGUCAGAAAGCCCAAGAACUGCUGCUGGUGAAUCAGGAGAAGUCUGGAACCCAAUGAACUUCAGCUUUAAAUGGCCGUGCUUAUGCUUUAGUUGCACGACUUGGACUCCCACCACUGUUAGUGACAUGUCCUGUCAUUAACAGAAGCCUUAAAAUGUCGCUGGCAUAUUCUGACUGCCAUAUUGAAUCUCUGGAUGUGAUGGCUGGAAUGGAACCCUGGAAUCUGCCUUGCUGGAUAUCAAUCAAUCCUAUAUAUAUUCAAGUUUUUAUUACCCCGUGCCAUGUGUCAUUGUUUUAAACCAUUUAACGUUUUUAAGUGUGAAUAUAUUUUAAAAAUAAAUUGUAUUUUCAUUUAA
Long non-coding RNA from Xenopus laevis (African clawed frog), 1008 nucleotides. RefSeq lists it as uncharacterized. The record is from RefSeq and is a predicted model, not a curated record. NCBI's taxonomy places the organism in Eukaryota, Metazoa, Chordata, Amphibia, Anura, Pipidae. The transcript has 4 exons.